AAGAAAGAAGCAUAAGUGGAUUUGAUGCGGUUGGCUUGAAACCAAUUUAUGGAGGUUCGAUUCCUUCCUUUCUUG
This 75-nucleotide transfer RNA is filed under the name Sapayoa aenigma (broad-billed sapayoa). RNAcentral's name for it is "tRNA-Ser". It matches the Rfam family "tRNA". From Rfam's summary of the family: Transfer RNA (tRNA) molecules are approximately 80 nucleotides in length. Their secondary structure includes four short double-helical elements and three loops (D, anti-codon, and T loops). Further hydrogen bonds mediate the characteristic L-shaped molecular structure. tRNAs have two regions of fundamental functional importance: the anti-codon, which is responsible for specific mRNA codon recognition, and the 3' end, to which the tRNAs corresponding amino acid is attached (by aminoacyl-tRNA synthetases). tRNAs cope with the degeneracy of the genetic code in two manners: having more than one tRNA (with a specific anti-codon) for a particular amino acid; and 'wobble' base-pairing, i.e. permitting non-standard base-pairing at the 3rd anti-codon position. The record is from RNAcentral. Lineage: Eukaryota; Metazoa; Chordata; Aves; Passeriformes; Tyrannidae.